GACGAACGCUGGCGGCGUGCUUAACACAUGCAAGUCGAGCGGUAAGGCCCUUUCGGGGGUACACGAGCGGCGAACGGGUGAGUAGCACGUGGGUGACCUGCCCUUAGCUCUGGGAUAAGCCUGGGAAACUGGGUCUAAUACCGGAUAUGACUCCAUGACGCAUGUUGUGGGGUGGAAAGCCUUGUGCGGCUAGGGAUGGGCCUGCGGCCUAUCAGCUUGUUGGUGGGGUGANGGCCUACCAAGGCGACGACGGGUAGCCGGCCUGAGAGGGCGACCGGCCACACUGGGACUGAGACACGGCCCAGACUCCUACGGGAGGCAGCAGUGGGGAAUCUUGCGCAAUGGGCGAAAGCCUGACGCAGCGACGCCGCGUGGGGAUGACGGCCU
RNAcentral lists this ribosomal RNA (387 nucleotides) under uncultured bacterium. Its description in RNAcentral is "bacterial SSU rRNA". It matches the Rfam family "Bacterial small subunit ribosomal RNA", at positions 28 to 417 of the family's 1533-position model. The record is from RNAcentral.